GAUGAACGCUGGCGGCGUGCCUAAUACAUGCAAGUCGAGCGGUAAGGCUUUCACAGUUUGUUUGAUUGAGACAGGUCGCGGAAAUUGCAAAGCAAUUUUCGCAUCACAACAACAGUGAUGAACGAUCAGUCGUAAAGAUCAAACAAAGUGUGAAAGUACACGAGCGGCGGACGGCUGAGUAACACGUAGGAACGUACCCCAAAGUGAGGGAUAAGCACCAGAAAUGGUGUCUAAUACCGCAUGUGCUCUUCGGAGGAAAGCUUCGGCGCUUUGGGAACGGCCUGCGCAUGAUUAGCUUGUUGGUGAGGUAAUGGCUCACCAAGGCGAUGAUCAUUAGCUGGUCUGAGAGGAUGAUCAGCCAGACUGGAACUGAGAACGGUCCAGACUCCUACGGGAGGCAGCAGUAGGGAAUUUUCCACAAUGGACGAAAGUCUGAUGGAGCAACGCCGCGUGCAGGAUGAAG
RNAcentral lists this ribosomal RNA (463 nucleotides) under uncultured bacterium. RNAcentral's name for it is "bacterial SSU rRNA". It matches the Rfam family "Bacterial small subunit ribosomal RNA", at positions 28 to 413 of the family's 1533-position model. The record is from RNAcentral.